This 1347-nucleotide long non-coding RNA is filed under the name Pan troglodytes (chimpanzee). RNAcentral describes it as "long non-coding RNA NONPTRT001835". Lineage: Eukaryota; Metazoa; Chordata; Mammalia; Primates; Hominidae. The record is from RNAcentral.
UUAGAAACAGUGAGGGAGAGCAAAUUCGCGCACCUGAUGUUUGCUUAAACUACCUGCUGGACUGAGACUUUCUGCGAAGCUGGCCUGUCUGCGAGCAGCACUCGCUAAGGCUCUGCGUUUAACAGACACUACAUUUGGGAAGGCGCUUAUCACAAAAAGUCCCUGCCCUUCUCGCGGGCUCGGGGCGCAACCCUGACAAAUCGGGCAGCCUUCUUGAGAGUGCAGAAAUGCUCUGCGUACCCAGCAAAUACAUUCUCUCCUUCCCACCACUCUGUGCAAACCCUCACGCCGCGGCUUUGUGUCUGUACUUUAGCCAAAACGCAGAAGCUUAUGGCCACCCUCCACUCCUCACCCCUCAUCCCUCACCACCUGCCUUUCAAUUCUCGGAACGAGCGACGUGACACAAGAGGUCCCAAGGGAGCAAACCUGAAAGCCAGAGCCUCCUGAAUACACAGACUGCCGGUGGGCCAGAUGACAUUAGACACUCCUGAGAUACGAGAAGCAUCACUUCCUUCAGACAGAGUCGGUGAGACUAUGAUGUAAUGAGAGUUCUCCUUGUGUUCCUCAGGAAGGCAGCUUGUGCCUUUCUACUUGAGGCAUCAUCUUUGAUGGCUAAAGAAUUCUGCAGCUUGGCCAGCGCGGUGGCUUACGCCUGUAAUCCCAACACUUUGGGAGGCCGAAGCGAGAGGAUCACUUGAGGUCAGGAAUUCGAGACCAGCCUGGACAACAUAAUGAGAAAUCGUCUCUACAAAAAAAAAAAAAAAAAAAAAAAAAAAAAAAAAAACCCCCUAAAAAUUAGCUGGAUUUGGUGGCGCAUGUCUGUAGUCCCAGCUACUUGGGAGGCUGAGGUGGGAGAAUCGCUUGAGCGUGGGAGAUCACGGCUGCAGUGAUCAAGCCAUUCCAGUCCAGCCUGGGCGACAGAGCAAGCCCCUGUCUCAAUAAUAAUAACAAUUUUGCAGCCUGAUUGUUAACGAAUGUUACUAGUUACAAACUUGUAAUAAUGUGGUGAAGAUAAUACCUAGUUAAUGUCUGCUGGGGUGGGGCAAUAAGCUUCUAUGUGCUUUACAUGCAUAACCUAAAUAUCUCCCCCAAAAUCCUCUAAAAUAGCUAUCAUUUUCUCCGUUUUUACAAAUGAGCAAAUUUUAAAGCUUAAACCUUAGAGAAACUUUUCUAAGUUCAUAUACUUGGGAAAUAAAGGCAACAAUUUCAUUGGAACAUAGGUCUGUCUAAUUCAUACCUUGUACUUUACGUUUUCUCUUUGAGAAGGCAAUUUAAUACCAGCUAAACUUUAAAAUCUAGUUGAAAGUAAGACCAUGAAAUGCCAAAAUCACAAGGCUUUAAAGGAUG